Molecule: long non-coding RNA, 663 nt
Filed under: Haliotis rufescens (red abalone)
Lineage: Eukaryota; Metazoa; Mollusca; Gastropoda; Lepetellida; Haliotidae
Description: uncharacterized LOC125376101, transcript variant X1
Source: RNAcentral
AUAGCAUUCAGACGUUGGCCCAACGUCGGCAAUGGUUGGCAGUGUCGCGGUCGGAUUUUAUACGUUGGCCCAACGUUGUUACAACGUUAGGUCGCAUUUCGGAAAUUAUUUCCAAGGGGCGCUACUCGUAAUUGACAACUUCACAGAGAGGGCGCUGCGUUUUUUGCGCUUCCAACGAGCAGACGACGAGACACAAGCACACGUUCGAUCAUCGGAAUACCGUUUUCCUCGAAUAUAAAGAGGUGGAGUUUACAGUAUUGUGGAAGCAUAUUUGUUUACAUCACAUCACAGCCAGAAAGUUACCAAGGCACACAGAGAGACCGUGGAUACAGUUGAAGAUCAUCCCUGUGAUAAGUUCUUCUGACAUCUGAGGAUUGAAAAGGCUCCUCAACCACUCAGCCCAAGUUCUGAUUUGUCAUGUAACAAAUAAAUAAAGGUCACCGAAACCAGAAUUCUAUUGUCAUUUUGUUGCUGUUAUCAUAUUUUUUAAUAGAUCAAGUAUAUUGAUCAUAGGACAUCCGAUGCAUGGACGAUUUUGCUUGUCUCAGUGUUGCCCUAAUGCUGAAUGUAUGGGGUAAGGCCAAGAAAAAUUAAACGUUUCAAUUUGUGGCAGGCUUAUUGUCUGAUGGUUUUUAAUUUGCAAACUUGUGUGAAAAUCAUUUA